AAAUAAAAGAAUAUUUAUAGCCCGGAUCUAAUUCUGUGCAGGAAGAAAAGACGGAAAGGUUUGUAUGUAAAUUUAAAUUGAUGCAAUGCCGAGUAUGGUGAGGUUGAACAGGUAUCUGCGCCAGGGGAAGACAGAAACACAAAUACAUGAGUGAAGGAAGGAGAAAUAUAUUGAUGGCUUUUUUGCGUAAAACACAAAUCAAAUUCUGCCGAAAACAAUCCUGACAUUUACGUGCUAUAUAUAAAUAGUAAAUAAUUAAAUUUUUGUACAUUGAUACAAUCGUUAACUUGUACUGAAUUCCAUUUUAAAAAUUAUAA
This is a long non-coding RNA of Saccostrea cuccullata (small rock oyster), 317 nucleotides long. RefSeq lists it as uncharacterized. NCBI's taxonomy places the organism in Eukaryota, Metazoa, Mollusca, Bivalvia, Ostreida, Ostreidae. The record is from RefSeq and is a predicted model, not a curated record. The transcript is spliced from 3 exons.